Molecule: small RNA, 821 nt
Filed under: Pan troglodytes (chimpanzee)
Lineage: Eukaryota; Metazoa; Chordata; Mammalia; Primates; Hominidae
Description: retained intron
Source: RNAcentral
GUGAUUGCCAUUACCUGACUGUAAGUGGUGAUUAUAGAGAGAGGGUUACUAUUUCUGGCUGCCCGGGAAGCCAUGGCGCUCCCCUGGUGUAAUUCUGGUCCAUCGUGACAUUCGCCCCUCACUUUUAAGCCAUGCCUAGAUGUGACUGCUGAGGCUCAGUGUGAUUAUCUUGGCAGAGCCCUGGCCAGUAUUACUUCAAACCCAUGAUGAAGGAGUUCCGGUUUGAGCCAUCCUCACAGAUGAUCGAGGUGCAGGAAGGCCAGAACCUGAAGAUCACCAUCACGGGGUACCGAACCGCUUACAGUUGCUAUGGCACAGUGUCUUCCUUAAACGGAGAGCCCGAACAAGGGGUUGCCGUGGAAGCGGUGGGCCAGAACGACUGCAGCAUUUACGGAGAAGACACCGUGACAGACGAAGAGGGCAAGUUCAGAUUACGUGGAUUGCUGCCGGGAUGUGUGUACCACGUUCAGCUCAAGGCAGAAGGCAACGACCACAUUGAGCGGGCACUCCCCCACCAUAGGGUGAUUGAGGUUGGGAAUAAUGACAUCGAUGAUGUAAACAUCAUAGUUUUCCGGCAGAUUAAUCAAUUUGAUUUAAGUGGAAAUGUGAUCACUUCCUCUGAAUACCUUCCUACAUUAUGGGUCAAGCUUUACAAAAGCGAAAACCUCGACAAUCCAAUCCAGACAGUUUCCCUUGGCCAGUCCCUGUUCUUCCAUUUCCCCCCGCUGCUCAGAGACGGCGAGAACUAUGUUGUGCUUCUGGACUCCACACUCCCCAGAUCCCAGUAUGACUACAUCUUGCCUCAAGUUUCUUUCACCGCA